This 253-nucleotide ribosomal RNA is filed under the name uncultured prokaryote. RNAcentral describes it as "partial 16S ribosomal RNA". It matches the Rfam family "Bacterial small subunit ribosomal RNA", at positions 525 to 777 of the family's 1533-position model. The record is from RNAcentral.
ACGAAGGGUGCAAGCGUUAUUCGGAAUCAUUGGGCGUAAAGCGCGCGCAGGCGGAUUUGUAAGUCAGGUGUGAAAUCUCGGAGCUCAACUCCGAAACUGCGCCUGAAACUACAAGUCUAGAAUGUCGGAGGGGGCAGGGGAAUUUCACGUGUAGGGGUAAAAUCCGUAGAGAUGUGAAGGAACACCGGAGGCGAAGGCGCCUGCCUGGACGACUAUUGACGCUGAGGCGCGAAAGCGUGGGGAGCAAACAGGA